AAAAAAACAAACCUUAGGAUUCCGUGUUCAACGUUUAACCGUCCGUCUUAUUUAAAAAAAUUGUUAAAAAAAUUAAAAAGACAAAUCACACAUAAAAUAUUAAUCAUGUUUUAUCAUAUAACAACAAUAAAAAUAUUAAUUAUAAAAAUUUUUAUAUAAGAUAGAUAGUCAACGUUGGGCAUGGAAACCUAUAGUUUGUUUUUUU
This is a microRNA precursor of Oryza sativa Indica Group (long-grained rice), 205 nucleotides long. It matches the Rfam family "MIR812 microRNA precursor family". NCBI's taxonomy places the organism in Eukaryota, Viridiplantae, Streptophyta, Magnoliopsida, Poales, Poaceae. The record is from Rfam.